Molecule: ribosomal RNA, 460 nt
Filed under: uncultured bacterium
Lineage: Bacteria
Description: partial 16S ribosomal RNA
Rfam family: Bacterial small subunit ribosomal RNA
Source: RNAcentral
CCUACGGGAGGCAGCAGUGAGGAAUAUUGGUCAAUGGCCGCAAGUCUGAACCAGCCAUGCCGCGUGCAGGAAGACGGCUCUAUGAGUUGUAAACUCCUUUUGUACGAGGGUAAACGCAGAUACGCGUAUCAGUCUGAAAGUAUCGUACGAAUAAGGAGCGGCUAACUCCGUGCCAGCAGCCGCGGUAAUCCGGAGGAUUCAAGCGUUAUCCGGAUUUAUUGGGUUUAAGGGGUGGGUAGGCGGUCGGAUAAGUUAGAGGGGAAAUCCCGAGGCUCAAAUUCGGAAUUGCCUUUGAUACUGUUCGGCUAGAGAGUAGUUGCGGUAGGCGGAAUGUAUGGUGUAGCGGUGAAAUGCUUAGAGAUCAUACAGAACACCGAUUGCGAAGGCAGCUUACCAAGCUACGUCUGACGUUGAGGCACGAAAGCGUGGGGAGCAAACAGGAUUAGAUACCCCUGUAGUC